RNAcentral lists this long non-coding RNA (1056 nucleotides) under Cyanistes caeruleus (blue tit). RNAcentral describes it as "lncRNA (ENSCCEG00000008227.1)". The record is from RNAcentral. Lineage: Eukaryota; Metazoa; Chordata; Aves; Passeriformes; Paridae.
AUGGGGAGAAAUGGAGAAAAAAUGGGGAAAAACGGGGGAAAAUGGGAAAAAACGGGGAAAAAAUGGGGAAAAAUGGGAAUUCUGGGAUGGGAAAAUGGGGAAAAAAACGGGAAAAAUGGGGAAAAAAUGGGGAGAAAUGGAGAAAAAAUGGGGGAAAAUGGGGGGAAAAUGGGGAAAAAUGGGAAAAAUUGGGAAAAAUACGGGAAAAAUGGGGGAAAAUGGGGAAAAAUGGGGAAAAACGAGGAAAAAUGGGAAAAAUGGGGAAAAAUGGGGGAAAAUGGGGGAAAAUGGGGAAAAAUGGGGAAAAAAUGGGGAAAAGUGGGGAAAAAUGGGGGAAAAGUGGGGGAAAAUGGGGAAAAAUGGGAUAAAUGGGGAAAAUCAGGGAAAAAUGGGGAAAAAUGGGGGAAAAUGGGGAAAAAAUGGGGAAAAAAUGGGAUAAUCCUCUUCAAUCCCAGUGGGAAACGGGGGAAAAACGGGGAAAAACAGGAAAAAUGGGGAAAAAUGGGGAAAAAUGGGGGAAAAUGGGAAAAAAUGGGAAUUCUGGGAUGGGAAAAAUGGGAAAUCCUCUUCAAUCCCGGUGGGAAAAACGGGGAAAAACGGGAAAAAUGGGGAAAAAUGGGGGAAAACGGGGAAAAAUGGGAAUUCUGGGAUGGGAAAAUGGGGAAAAUGGGGGAAAAAUGGGGAAAAAAUGGGAAAAAUGGGGAAAAAUGGAGGAAAAAUGGGAAUUCUGGGAUGGAAAAAUGGGGAAAAUGGGGGAAAAUGGGGAAAAAUGGGGGAAAAUGGGAAAAAUGGGGAAAAAUGUGGGAAAAAUGGGAAAAAUGGGAAAUCCUCUUCAAUCCCGGUGGGAAAACGGGGAAAAACGGGGAAAAACGGGAAAAAAAUGGGGAAAAACGGGAAAAACGGGGGAAAAAUGGGGAAAAAUGGGGAAAAUGGGGAAAAAUGGGGAAAAAUGGGGGAAAACGGGAAGAAAAUGGGGAAAAAAUGGGGAAAAAUGGGGAAAAAAUGGGAAAAAUGGGGGAAAAUGGGGAAAAAAUGGGGGAAAAAUGGGGAAAAUAG